GACGAACGCUGGCGGCGUGCUUAACACAUGCAAGUCGAACGGAAAGGCCCUGCUUUUGUGGGGUGCUCGAGUGGCGAACGGGUGAGUAACACGUGAGUAACCUGCCCUUGACUUUGGGAUAACUUCAGGAAACUGGGGCUAAUACCGGAUAGGAGCUCCUGCUGCAUGUUGGGGGUUGGAAAGUUUCGGCGGUUGGGGAUGGACUCGCGGCUUAUCAGCUUGUUGGUGGGGUAGUGGCUUACCAAGGCUUUGACGGGUAGCCGGCCUGAGAGGGUGACCGGACACAUGGGGACUGAGAUACGGCGCAGACUCCUACGGGAGGCAGCAGUGGGGAAUAUUGCACAAUGGGCGGAAGCCUGAUGCAGCAACGCCGCGUGCGGGAUGACGGCCUUCGGGUUGUAAACCGCUUUCGCCUGUGACGAAGCGUGAGUGACGGUAAUGGGUAAAGAAGCACCGGCUAACUACGUG
This 468-nucleotide ribosomal RNA is filed under the name uncultured bacterium. RNAcentral describes it as "partial 16S ribosomal RNA". It matches the Rfam family "Bacterial small subunit ribosomal RNA", at positions 28 to 507 of the family's 1533-position model. The record is from RNAcentral.